AUGAAGAACUCACUUAUAUUCAGUCUUUGUCUGAAUUUCACUGCCAGUUCUAAUAAGAGUUUACUUGUUGACAUUUUAGGUUUAAAAAGCCCAACAAGCUGGGUGAAUGAAUUCAGAGGUAACAUAUUUUCUGACUGCAUGUGUGAGCGUGCAUGCAUAUAUGUCUUAAGUAGUAGAAGAGCACCAAUAAGACAUCUUCAGUUUUACUUAACGGUAAGAGCAUUACACCUAACUAUUCUGAAGCUUUUGAAAAUUUGUUUAAAAAGACUACUAUGAUUACUGUAGUCAAAAUGUGUUUUUUAUCCUACCUGAGAUGCUUAAAAUCUUACACUGUAAUUUUAUUUUUUGCUUAAUGUAUAAUAUUCUGUCAGCUCAGAUCACUGUUUAAAAGGAUGAAGAAAAAUGCUGAAAAAGAAGUACCUCUUCAGUAAUCAAGGCUGUUGAAAUGAAAAACUUUUAUUUUUGUGAAGUAAAACAAUUUUUUCUGUGUAAACAUUCUCCACAUGCAGGAAUAACCAAAUGUACUAAUAUUUCCUCAUAACAGGGAAAUAUUUUAUUGUGAAGCUAUUGUGUUUGUAGUCCAAGAAUAUAUAUUUUUUUCUUUCACCAAAGUAUGUCUACUGACUCCUUUCACAUUACGCCAGAAAUUGAUCAUGACUGAUGCUAAUGUGUAAACUUUAUAUAGAUUAUUUCUACAUAGACAUACAUACUUAUAAGGAAUAGACAUCGACUUAGGUAGGAAAAGAAAUUUAUUAGUUGUUCUAAAAAAAAAAAAAAAGCCUUUUUUUUGAGAUAAAGGAAAAGAUUAUUGUCUUUCUGUAUGUUACUUAUAUUAAAUAUGGAAGUAACUGUGGUUUUCCUUAUACAUUAUCAGCAUACUUUACAGAAAUCCCAUUAACCUGUCAGAUAUUUUCUAAUUCAAGCACAGAUUUGGUCAUGAAUAGUCAGUUGGAAAUGAGGUAAUUGGGGUAUGACAGAACCCUUAGUCUGUAUCCAUAAUUUAUAGUUUAUAAUAAAAGAACUGAAGGUGUCCUGUGAAAGAAAGUU
This 1047-nucleotide long non-coding RNA is filed under the name Numida meleagris (helmeted guineafowl). Its description in RNAcentral is "lncRNA (ENSNMEG00000019126.1)". The record is from RNAcentral. Lineage: Eukaryota; Metazoa; Chordata; Aves; Galliformes; Numididae.